UUGGAGGGCAAGUCUGGUGCCAGCAGCCGCGGUAAUUCCAGCUCCAAUAGCGUAUAUUAAAGUUGUUGCAGUUAAAAAGCUCGUAGUUGAAUUUCGGGAUUCUUCCGUUGGUCAGGCUAACAAGUCUGUACUAGCGUGUAGAAUCUCUACCUUCUGGGGAACCAUCAUGUUAUUAAUUUAGCGUGGUGGGAAACCAGGACCUUUACCUUGAAAAAAUUAGAGUGUCCAAAGCAGGCUUACGUCUGAAUACAUUAGCAUGGAAUAAUAAAAUAGGACGGUGGUCCUGUUUUGUUGGUUUCUGAAUCACCGUAAUGAUUAAUAGGGAUAGUUGGGGGCAUUAGUAUUCAAUUGUCAGAGGUGAAAUUCUUGGAUUUAUUGAAGACUAACUUCUGCGAAAGCAUUUGCCAAGGAUGUUUUCAUUAAUCAAGAACGAAAGUUAGGGGAUCGAAGGCGAUCAGAUACCGUCGUAGUCUUAACCAUAAACUAUGCCGACUAGGGAUCGGACGAUGUUAAAUUUUAUUGACCCGUUCGGCGCCUUACGGGAAAC
RNAcentral lists this ribosomal RNA (547 nucleotides) under uncultured Glomeromycotina. RNAcentral describes it as "SSU rRNA". It matches the Rfam family "Eukaryotic small subunit ribosomal RNA", at positions 548 to 1098 of the family's 1831-position model. Lineage: Eukaryota; Fungi; Glomeromycota. The record is from RNAcentral.